GAUGAACGCUGGCGGCGUGCCUAAUACAUGCAAGUCGAGCGAACGGACGAGAAGCUUGCUUCUCUGAUGUUAGCGGCGGACGGGUGAGUAACACGUGGAUAACCUACCUAUAAGACUGGGAUAACUUCGGGAAACCGGAGCUAAUACCGGAUAAUAUUUUGAACCGCAUGGUUCAAAAGUGAAAGACGGUCUUGCUGUCACUUCUAGAUGGAUCCGCGCUGCAUUAUCUAGUUGGUAAGGUAACGGCUUACCAAGGCAACGAUGCAUAGCCGACCUGAGAGGGUGAUAGGCCACACUGGAACUGAGACACGGUCCAGACUCCUACGGGAGGCAGCAGUAGGGAAUCUUACGCAAUGGGCGAAAGCAUGACGGAGCAACGCCGCGUGAGUGAUGAAGGUCUUCGGAGCGUAAAACUCUGUUAUUAGGGAAGAACAGAUGUGUAAGUAACUGUGCACAUCGUGACGGUACCUAAUCAGAAAGCCACGGCUAACUACGUG
This 497-nucleotide ribosomal RNA is filed under the name uncultured bacterium. Its description in RNAcentral is "partial 16S ribosomal RNA". It matches the Rfam family "Bacterial small subunit ribosomal RNA", at positions 28 to 507 of the family's 1533-position model. The record is from RNAcentral.